This 141-nucleotide small nuclear RNA is filed under the name Carlito syrichta (Philippine tarsier). Its description in RNAcentral is "U2 spliceosomal RNA (ENSTSYG00000020095.2)". It matches the Rfam family "U2 spliceosomal RNA", at positions 44 to 185 of the family's 192-position model. Rfam says of the family: U2 is a small nuclear RNA (snRNA) component of the spliceosome (involved in pre-mRNA splicing). The record is from RNAcentral. Lineage: Eukaryota; Metazoa; Chordata; Mammalia; Primates; Tarsiidae.
UCUUAGAAGUUUAAUAUCUGAUAUGUACUCUAUCUGAGGAUAAUGUAUUAAAUGGAUUUUUAAAACAGGGAGAUGGAAUAGGAGCUUGCUUCAUCCACUUCACGCAUCGACCUGGUAUUACUGUACUUCCAGGAAUAGUGC